Hyla sarda is the source of this 1669-nucleotide long non-coding RNA. RefSeq lists it as uncharacterized. The record is from RefSeq and is a predicted model, not a curated record. The transcript has 4 exons. NCBI's taxonomy places the organism in Eukaryota, Metazoa, Chordata, Amphibia, Anura, Hylidae.
CUAUGUAGAGGUCAGAAGCUUCUUCAGGGUCCUGUACAGAACACAGAAUGUCCUAAAAAUAAAAAAAUAAAAAUAAAAGGAAAAUGGAGCUGCCCUCACCUGAUGCCCAAAGGAGCAGCUAACCCUGGCACAGGUAAAGAGUACAGAACAUGUAAUAUCUCCCUGUACUGUAGGGGGCACUACCGGACACCAGUCAGUGCAUACGCUUCAGUAAUACAGGUAAAGAGUAGUACAGAACAUGUAAUACCUCCCUGUACUGUAGGGGGUGCUACCAGACACCAGUCAGUGCAGGCACUUUAGGAAUACAGGGGUUUUACCCGUGAAUGCCCAUUCUGAUAAGUUGGUUCUUCCAGCCAUUGACACGUUUCGCAGACUCCAUAGCAUUGUAUGUUGAGUCUGGUUUCAAGUUACAUUGGUCCAGAAAAGACCAUUGUAUGUUGAAACUAUUGUAUAUUGAGGCCAUUGUAAGUUGAGGAAUCACUGUAUAAGGAUAAGAGGGAUGUCUUUAUGCUGACCACUAUUCGUGGUAACGGCAGCUCACCUGUCCCUGUGUGAGGUACCACAACAACGGUCCUCAAGCCUGAUUGUAUUCUGGACUACAAUCAGUAUAUGGGGGGAGUUGAUCUUUCUGAUCACGUCCUCAAGCCAUACAUGGCCAUGCGGAAAACACAGGUAUGGUACAAAAAAGUUGCGGUCUACAUGGUACAGGUUGCCAUGUACAACUCUUUUGUACUGUACCGGAACACUGGCAGCACAGGGACAUACCUCCAGUUCCAAGAAGAAGUCCUAAAGGUCCUGAUCCUUGCUGACCGGGAAAGAGCAGGCCGGACUUCCCAAGAAACUGUUCUGGCUCCAUAGGCAGCUGUCUAGAAGCUUCAGGCCCCUGACUGCCCUCCGUGACCAGUGAGCAGAGCCAAUCUACACCCAGAUAUGAGAUCUAGGAAUGCAAAGUCAGUCUGAGCAGUUCCAGGCUAAGGAGAAAACUGCGGGAGAGAAAUUACCUGGUUAACUUAUGGCAUAAAUUAUGGGAGAAAUCUCAGAAGGACCUUUUUAGAGGAAGCUGUGACAAAAAGAUGGCGGUCUCUGCGUGAUCGAUUACGUAAAGAAUAUAACAAGCAUGGAGCUAGUGGUAGUGGAGCAACAACGCCUCAAAAAUACAAAUAUUUCCAGCAGCUGUUGUUUCUGGCCCCAGGCAGAGAGCUCAGACAAACAGAGACCAACAUGGAUUUUGUGUCCGAAGAAGAGGGGUUGCCUGACACACAAGAAACCCAGGAUGAACAGGGCACACAAACCACUACUGAUGAGGGCCAGUUAACUCCUGAGGAACACGAACCAUCCUCCAUUUUGGAUCAAAAUGAGACCAUGCCACAACCAGUUGUGGUGGAUUCCACAGAUGUAGGGGAAGAUGGUGAGGUUGAAGGGCCCAGUGGAAGCCAAGGCCCCAGGUCAACAUCCCCUCUUGUAGGCAGCAGAAGAAACAAAAACGGAACUUAUUCCAAGCGCCAGAUCCCUUGAGGUGGUCAGUUGUUUGGUUUCCCUUGACCUUUUUCUGUGAUGUUUUGAUGGUUUAAAGAUUACUGAAUGCUGCCAUAGAUCAUCUGACACAUACUAACUUAUCUCCUUUCAUGUGCAUCAUUGUUUUUACAUAAAAAAAGCAAUAAGGCUCUGU